GACGAACGCUGGCGGCGUGCUUAACACAUGCAAGUCGAACGGUGAACGAGGGAGCUUGCUCCCUCCGGAUCAGUGGCGAACGGGUGAGUAACACGUGAGCAAUCUGCCCCGAACUCUGGGAUAAGCGUUGGAAACGACGUCUAAUACCGGAUACGACGCGGGAGGGCAUCCUCUCCGCGUGGAAAGAACUUCGGUUCGGGAUGAGCUCGCGGCCUAUCAGCUUGUUGGUGAGGUAACGGCUCACCAAGGCGACGACGGGUAGCCGGCCUGAGAGGGUGACCGGCCACACUGGGACUGAGACACGGCCCAGACUCCUACGGGAGGCAGCAGUGGGGAAUACUGCACAAUGGGCGCAAGCCUGAUGCAGCAACGCCGCGUGAGGGACGACGGCCUUCGGGUUGUAAACCUCUUUUAGCAGGGAAGAAGCGAAAGUGACGGUACCUGCAGAAAAAGCACCGGCUAACUACGUG
Molecule: ribosomal RNA, 470 nt
Filed under: uncultured bacterium
Lineage: Bacteria
Description: partial 16S ribosomal RNA
Rfam family: Bacterial small subunit ribosomal RNA
Source: RNAcentral